GACGAACGCUGGCGGCGUGCUUAACACAUGCAAGUCGAACGGUAAGGCCCUUCGGGGUACACGAGUGGCGAACGGGUGAGUAACACGUGGGUGAUCUGCCCUGCACUUCGGGAUAAGCCUGGGAAACUGGGUCUAAUACCGGAUAGGACUCCGGACUGCAUGGUCUGGGGUGGAAAGCUUUUGCGGUGUGGGAUGGGCCCGCGGCCUAUCAGCUUGUUGGUGGGGUGAUGGCCUACCAAGGCGACGACGGGUAGCCGGCCUGAGAGGGUGACCGGCACACACUGGGACUGAGGUACGGCCCAGACUCCUACGGGAGGCAGCAGUGGGGAAUAUUGCACAAUGGGCGCAAGCCUGAUGCAGCGACGCCGCGUGAGGGAUGACGGCCUUCGGGUUGUAAACCUCUUUCAGCAUCGACGAAGCGAAAGUGACGGUAGGUGCAGAAGAAGGACCGGCCAACUACGUGCCAGCCGCCGCGGUAA
Molecule: ribosomal RNA, 479 nt
Filed under: uncultured bacterium
Lineage: Bacteria
Description: partial 16S ribosomal RNA
Rfam family: Bacterial small subunit ribosomal RNA
Source: RNAcentral